Molecule: ribosomal RNA, 497 nt
Filed under: uncultured bacterium
Lineage: Bacteria
Description: partial 16S ribosomal RNA
Rfam family: Bacterial small subunit ribosomal RNA
Source: RNAcentral
GGUGAACGCUGGCGGCGUGCCUAAUACAUGCAAGUCGAGCGAACGGACGAGAAGCUUGCUUCUCUGAUGUUAGCGGCGGACGGGUGAGUAACACGUGGAUAACCUACCUAUAAGACUGGGAUAACUUCGGGAAACCGGAGCUAAUACCGGAUAAUAUUUUGAACCGCAUGGUUCAAAAGUGAAAGACGGUCUUGCUGUCACUUAUAGAUGGAUCCGCGCUGCAUUAGCUAGUUGAUAAGGUAACGGCUUACCAAGGCAACGAUGCAUAGCCGACCUGAGAGGGUGAUCGGCCACACUGGAACUGAGACACGGUCCAGACUCCUACGGGAGGCAGCAGUAGGGAAUCUUCCGCAAUGGGCGAAAGCCUGACGGAGCAACGCCGCGUGAGUGAUGAAGGUCUUCGGAUCGUAAAACUCUGUUAUUAGGGAAGAACAUAUGUGUAAGUAACUGUGCACAUCUUGACGGUACCUAAUCAGAAAGCCACGGCUAACUACGUG